This 484-nucleotide ribosomal RNA is filed under the name uncultured bacterium. RNAcentral describes it as "partial 16S ribosomal RNA". It matches the Rfam family "Bacterial small subunit ribosomal RNA", at positions 30 to 507 of the family's 1533-position model. The record is from RNAcentral.
AUUGAACGCUGGCGGCAGGCCUAACACAUGCAAGUCGAGCGGAUGAAGGGAGCUUGCUCCUGGAUUCAGCGGCGGACGGGUGAGUAAUGCCUAGGAAUCUGCCUGGUAGUGGGGGAUAACGUCCGGAAACGGGCGCUAAUACCGCAUACGUCCUGAGGGACAAAGUGGGGGAUCUUCGGACCUCAUGCUAUCAGAUGAGCCUAGGUCGGAUUAGCUAGUUGGUGGGGUAAAGGCCUACCAAGGCGACGAUCCGUAACUGGUCUGAGAGGAUGAUCAGUCACACUGGAACUGAGACACGGUCCAGACUCCUACGGGAGGCAGCAGUGGGGAAUAUUGGACAAUGGGCGAAAGCCUGAUCCAGCCAUGCCGCGUGUGUGAAGAAGGUCUUCGGAUUGUAAAGCACUUUUAGUUGGGAAGAAGAGCAGUAGGUUAAUACCUCGCUGUUUUGACGUUACCAACAGAAUAAGCACCGGCUAACUUCGUG